RNAcentral lists this ribosomal RNA (497 nucleotides) under uncultured bacterium. Its description in RNAcentral is "partial 16S ribosomal RNA". It matches the Rfam family "Bacterial small subunit ribosomal RNA", at positions 28 to 507 of the family's 1533-position model. The record is from RNAcentral.
GAUGAACGCUGGCGGCGUGCCUAAUACAUGCAAGUCGAGCGAACAGACGAGGAGCUUGCUCCUCUGACGUUAGCGGCGGGCGGGUGAGUAACACGUGGAUAACCUACCUAUAAGACUGGGAUAACUUCGGGAAACCGGAGCUAAUACCGGAUAAUAUAUUGAACCGCAUGGUUCAAUAGUGAAAGACAGUUUUGCUGUCACUUAUAGAUGUAUCCGCGCCGCAUUAGCUAGUUGGUAAGGUAACGGCGUACCAAGGCAACGAUGCGUAGCCGACCUGAGAGGGGGAUCGGCCACACUGGAACUGAGACACGGUCCAGACUCCUACGGGAGGCAGCAGUAGGGAAUCUUCCGCAAUGGGCGAAAGCCUGACGGAGCAACGCCGCGUGAGUGAUGAAGGUCUUCGGAUCGUAAAACUCUGUUAUUAGGGAAGAACAAAUGUGUAAGUAACUAUGCACGUCUUGACGGUACCUAAUAAGAAAGCCACGGCUAACUACGUG